AUUGAACGCUGGCGGCAGGCCUAACACAUGCAAGUCGAACGGUAACAGGAAGAAGCUUGCUUCCUUGCUGACGAGUGGCGGACGGGUGAGUAAUGUCUGGGAAACUGCCUGGUGGAGGGGGAUAACGACGGGAAACGGUAGCUAAUACCGCAUAACGUCGCAGGACCAAAGAGGGGGACCUUCGGGCCUCUUGCCAUCGGAUGUGCCCAGGUGGGAUUAGCUAGUAGGUGGGGUAACGGCCCACCUAGGCGACGAUCCCUAGCUGGUCUGAGAGGAUGACCAGCCACACUGGAACUGAGACACGGUCCAGACUCCUACGGGAGGCAGCAGUGGGGAAUAUUGCACAAUGGGCGCAAGCCUGAUGCAGCCAUGCCGCGUGUAUGAAGAAGGCCUUCGGGUUGUAAAGUACUUUCAGCGGGGAGGAAGGGAGUAAAGUUAAUACCUUGACUCAUUGACGUUACCCGCAGAAGAAGCACCGGCUAACUCCGUG
This 490-nucleotide ribosomal RNA is filed under the name uncultured bacterium. RNAcentral's name for it is "partial 16S ribosomal RNA". It matches the Rfam family "Bacterial small subunit ribosomal RNA", at positions 30 to 507 of the family's 1533-position model. The record is from RNAcentral.